RNAcentral lists this ribosomal RNA (1056 nucleotides) under Staphylococcus sp. k-4(2011). RNAcentral's name for it is "bacterial SSU rRNA". It matches the Rfam family "Bacterial small subunit ribosomal RNA", at positions 40 to 1071 of the family's 1533-position model. Lineage: Bacteria; Bacillati; Bacillota; Bacilli; Caryophanales; Staphylococcaceae. The record is from RNAcentral.
UGGAAAUUACGCAUACUAUACAUGCAGUCGAGCGAACAGAUAAGGAGCUUGCUCCUUUGAAGUUAGCGGCGGACGGGUGAGUAACACGUGGGUAACCUACCUAUAAGACUGGGAUAACUUCGGGAAACCGGAGCUAAUACCGGAUAACAUUUAGAACCGCAUGGUUCUAAAGUGAAAGAUGGUUUUGCUAUCACUUAUAGAUGGACCCGCGCCGUAUUAGCUAGUUGGUAAGGUAACGGCUUACCAAGGCGACGAUACGUAGCCGACCUGAGAGGGUGAUCGGCCACACUGGAACUGAGACACGGUCCAGACUCCUACGGGAGGCAGCAGUAGGGAAUCUUCCGCAAUGGGCGAAAGCCUGACGGAGCAACGCCGCGUGAGUGAUGAAGGGUUUCGGCUCGUAAAACUCUGUUAUUAGGGAAGAACAAAUGUGUAAGUAACUGUGCACAUCUUGACGGUACCUAAUCAGAAAGCCACGGCUAACUACGUGCCAGCAGCCGCGGUAAUACGUAGGUGGCAAGCGUUAUCCGGAAUUAUUGGGCGUAAAGCGCGCGUAGGCGGUUUCUUAAGUCUGAUGUGAAAGCCCACGGCUCAACCGUGGAGGGUCAUUGGAAACUGGGAAACUUGAGUGCAGAAGAGGAAAGUGGAAUUCCAUGUGUAGCGGUGAAAUGCGCAGAGAUAUGGAGGAACACCAGUGGCGAAGGCGACUUUCUGGUCUGUAACUGACGCUGAUGUGCGAAAGCGUGGGGAUCAAACAGGAUUAGAUACCCUGGUAGUCCACGCCGUAAACGAUGAGUGCUAAGUGUUAGGGGGUUUCCGCCCCUUAGUGCUGCAGCUAACGCAUUAAGCACUCCGCCUGGGGAGUACGACCGCAAGGUUGAAACUCAAAGGAAUUGACGGGGACCCGCACAAGCGGUGGAGCAUGUGGUUUAAUUCGAAGCAACGCGAAGAACCUUACCAAAUCUUGACAUCCUUUGAAAACUCUAGAGAUAGAGCCUUCCCCUUCGGGGGACAAAGUGACAGGGGUGCAUGGUUGUCGUCAGCUCGUGUCGUGAG